GACCAACUUGAUCAGCAUUCAGUCCAAGGUCAUCAAUGGCUAGAGAGCUCCUGUUCCAAAAGCAAUACGAAGUAAACAUAAAUCCUAGGAAAACCCUUUUAAAUAUAACACUAAAUAAAAGCAAAUGUGUACAUUUGAAUAGAUGUGGCAAUGAAAGAAGUUUAAAUGAGUGUUGAAUAAUUUGGGGAGUUUUGAAAACAUAAGAGAUGGAGCCCUUUAGACGCACAGUUUACCUCCUACGACUUGGGAAAUUGCUAUUCUGCCAGGGGCUUGUUUCCCCUGCCUAGAAAACACAGGAGUGGGAAAAGGCUAAAAUGAAAACCACAUGCAUUCAAUCCUUUCCCUCUUCUUUGCCUCAAAUAAAGAAUUGUGAUGCCUGUCC
This is a non-coding RNA of Rattus norvegicus (Norway rat), 382 nucleotides long. Lineage: Eukaryota; Metazoa; Chordata; Mammalia; Rodentia; Muridae. The record is from RefSeq and is a predicted model, not a curated record.